RNAcentral lists this ribosomal RNA (492 nucleotides) under uncultured bacterium. RNAcentral describes it as "partial 16S ribosomal RNA". It matches the Rfam family "Bacterial small subunit ribosomal RNA", at positions 29 to 507 of the family's 1533-position model. The record is from RNAcentral.
AGUGAACGCUGGCGGUAGGCCUAACACAUGCAAGUCGAACGGCAGCACAGUAAGAGCUUGCUCUUACGGGUGGCGAGUGGCGGACGGGUGAGGAAUACAUAGGAAUCUACUUUUUCGUGGGGGAUAACGUAGGGAAACUUACGCUAAUACCGCAUAUGACCUACGGGUGAAAGCAGGGGAUCUUCGGACCUUGCGCGAUUGAAUGAGCCGAUGUCGGAUUAGCUAGUUGGCGGGGUAAAGGCCCACCAAGGCGACGAUCCGUAGCUGGUCUGAGAGGAUGAUCAGCCACACUGGAACUGAGACACGGUCCAGACUCCUACGGGAGGCAGCAGUGGGGAAUAUUGGACAAUGGGCGCAAGCCUGAUCCAGCCAUACCGCGUGAGUGAAGAAGGCCUUCGGGUUGUAAAGCCCUGUUGUUGGGAAAGAAAAGCAGCAGGUUAAUACCCCGCUGUUCUGACGGUACCCAAAGAAUAAGCACCGGCUAACUUCGUG